RNAcentral lists this ribosomal RNA (501 nucleotides) under uncultured bacterium. RNAcentral's name for it is "bacterial SSU rRNA". It matches the Rfam family "Bacterial small subunit ribosomal RNA", at positions 29 to 507 of the family's 1533-position model. The record is from RNAcentral.
AUGAACGCUGGCGGCGUGCCUAAUACAUGCAAGUCGAGCGGAAUGAUGAAGAAGCUUUGCUUUCUUCUGAUUUUAGCGGCGGACGGGUGAGUAACACGUGGGCAACCUACCUUGUAGAUUGGGAUAACUCCGGGAAACCGGGGCUAAUACCGAAUAAUCCAUUUUGCUUCAUGGCGAGAUGUUGAAAGACGGUUUCGGCUGUCACUACAAGAUGGGCCCGCGGCGCAUUAGCUAGUUGGUAGGGUAAUGGCCUACCAAGGCGACGAUGCGUAGCCGACCUGAGAGGGUGAUCGGCCACACUGGGACUGAGACACGGCCCAGACUCCUACGGGAGGCAGCAGUAGGGAAUCUUCCACAAUGGACGAAAGUCUGAUGGAGCAACGCCGCGUGAGUGAAGAAGGUUUUCGGAUCGUAAAACUCUGUUGUAAGGGAAGAACACGUACGAGAGUAACUGCUCGUACCUUGACGGUACCUUAUUAGAAAGCCACGGCUAACUACGUG